AAUCCUACGGGAGGCAGCAGUGGGGAAUAUUGCACAAUGGGGGAAACCCUGAUGCAGCGACGCCGCGUGAGUGAAGAAGUAUCUCGGUACGUAAAGCUCUAUCAGCAGGGAAGAAAAAAAGUCCUUUGGACUUUGGACGGUACCUGACGAAUAAGCCACGGCUAACUACGUGCCAGCAGCCGCGGUAAUACGUAGGUGGCAAGCGUUAUCCGGAUUUACUGGGUGUAAAGGGCGUGUAGGCGGGGAAGCAAGUCAGAUGUGAAAACCACGGGCUCAACCUGUGGCCUGCAUUUGAAACUGUUUUU
This 305-nucleotide ribosomal RNA is filed under the name uncultured bacterium. Its description in RNAcentral is "bacterial SSU rRNA". It matches the Rfam family "Bacterial small subunit ribosomal RNA", at positions 335 to 640 of the family's 1533-position model. The record is from RNAcentral.